CCUACGGGGGGCAGCAGUGAGGAAUAUUGGUCAAUGGGCGCGAGCCUGAACCAGCCAAGUAGCGUGAAGGAUGACUGCCCUACGGGUUGUAAACUUCUUUUAUAAAGGAAUAAAGUGAGGCACGUGUGCCUUUUUGUAUGUACUUUAUGAAUAAGGAUCGGCUUACUCCGUGCCCGCAGCCGGGGUAAUAUGGAGGAUUCGAGCGUUCACCGGAUUUAUUUGGUUUAAAGGGAGCGUAGAGGGGUUGUUAAGUCCGUUGUGAAAGUUUGUGGCUCAACCGUAAAAUUGCAAUUGAUACUGGCAGUCGUGAGUACAGUUGAGGUAGGCGGAAUUCGUGGUGUAGCGGUGAAAUGCUUAGAUAUCACGAAGAACUCCGAUUGCGAAGGCAGCUUACUAAACUGCCACUGACAUUGAUGCUCGAAAGUGUGGGUAUCAAACAGGAUUAGAUACCCCUGUAGUC
Molecule: ribosomal RNA, 460 nt
Filed under: uncultured bacterium
Lineage: Bacteria
Description: partial 16S ribosomal RNA
Rfam family: Bacterial small subunit ribosomal RNA
Source: RNAcentral